RNAcentral lists this ribosomal RNA (264 nucleotides) under uncultured bacterium. RNAcentral describes it as "partial 16S ribosomal RNA". It matches the Rfam family "Bacterial small subunit ribosomal RNA", at positions 1239 to 1500 of the family's 1533-position model. The record is from RNAcentral.
CGAGAGGGCAGCCAAGUCGUGAGGCGGAGCUAAUCCCUUAAAGCCAUUCUCAGUUCGGAUUGUAGGCUGAAACUCGCCUACAUGAAGCUGGAGUUACUAGUAAUCGCAGAUCAGAAUGCUGCGGUGAAUGCGUUCCCGGGUCUUGUACACACCGCCCGUCACACCACGGAAGUUGGGGGCGCCCGAAGCCACUUAGCUAACCCUUUUGGGAAGCGAGUGUCGAAGGUGAAAUCAAUAACUGGGGUGAAGUCGUAACAAGGUACC